UAAGCGGAGGAAAAGAAAAUAACCAGGAUUCCCCUAGUAACGGCGAGUGAAGCGGGAAUAGCUCAAAUUUUAAAUCUGGCCGGCGUGGUCGGUCCGAGUUGUAAUUUGAAGAGUGGUUUUCACGUUUUCGUUCGGGUCCAAGUUCCUUGGAAUGGGACAUCAGAGAGGGUGAGAAUCCCGUCUUUGAUCCGAUCGGUAACGGUAUGAUACCGCUUCUAAGAGUCGAGUUGUUUGGGAUUGCAGCUCAAAAUGGGUGGUAAAUUCCAUCUAAGGCUAAAUAUAGGCGAGAGACCGAUAGCGAACAAGUACCGUGAGGGAAAGAUGAAAAGAACUUUGAAAAGAGAGUUAAAUAGUACGUGAAAUUGUUGAUAGGGAAACGAUUGAAGUCAGUCAUGCCAGUGAGAAAUCAGCUUACAGGCUACUGUGAGUGCACUUUUUCGCAAAGGCAGGUUAACAUCGGUUUUCGUUGCGUCAUAAUGAUUGUAGGAAGGUGGCUCCUUCGGGAGUGUUAUAGACUACUUUAGAUGGCCUGACAUAGACUAAGGAUUGCAGCGAAUGCCUUAGGCUACAGUUCUUUCUCUGUAAGUCGUUAAUUGGUUGUCAGCUUGCUGACUUCUAGUUAAUUGGCAGACAGUAAGGUAGAAAUUGAUAAAUUCGCUAAGGAUGUUGACGUAAUGGGCUUUAAACGACCCGUCUUGAAACACGGACCAAGGNGUCUAACAUGUAUGCGANUGUU
RNAcentral lists this ribosomal RNA (736 nucleotides) under uncultured Archaeospora. Its description in RNAcentral is "LSU rRNA". It matches the Rfam family "Eukaryotic large subunit ribosomal RNA", at positions 47 to 694 of the family's 3401-position model. Lineage: Eukaryota; Fungi; Glomeromycota; Glomeromycetes; Archaeosporales; Archaeosporaceae. The record is from RNAcentral.